UGACAGAAUGCAUCCCAUCGUUCUUCUCUUUGUCAUUUCUCUGCUUCACGCAUAUGAAGCCCGAGCGAAGAGACCGUUUCAAGUGCAACUGGUGAAUGGAAGCAACAGGUGUGAGGGCAGAGUGGAGGUGCUCUUCUCCGGCGUA
Long non-coding RNA from Limanda limanda (common dab), 145 nucleotides. RefSeq lists it as uncharacterized. The record is from RefSeq and is a predicted model, not a curated record. NCBI's taxonomy places the organism in Eukaryota, Metazoa, Chordata, Actinopteri, Pleuronectiformes, Pleuronectidae. The transcript has 3 exons.